GCGGGUUUCGUAUAAUGGCAUUAAUCUAGCUUCCCAAGCUGAUAACGAGGGUUCGAUUCCCUUCACCCGCUCCA
RNAcentral lists this transfer RNA (74 nucleotides) under Pseudomonas sp. MWU12-2312b. RNAcentral describes it as "tRNA-Gly". It matches the Rfam family "tRNA". Rfam says of the family: Transfer RNA (tRNA) molecules are approximately 80 nucleotides in length. Their secondary structure includes four short double-helical elements and three loops (D, anti-codon, and T loops). Lineage: Bacteria; Pseudomonadati; Pseudomonadota; Gammaproteobacteria; Pseudomonadales; Pseudomonadaceae. The record is from RNAcentral.